Molecule: ribosomal RNA, 1000 nt
Filed under: Halomonas ventosae
Lineage: Bacteria; Pseudomonadati; Pseudomonadota; Gammaproteobacteria; Oceanospirillales; Halomonadaceae
Description: bacterial SSU rRNA
Rfam family: Bacterial small subunit ribosomal RNA
Source: RNAcentral
GAGCUUGCUCCAGGCGUCGAGCGGCGGACGGGUGAGUAAUGCAUAGGAAUCUGCCCGGUAGUGGGGGAUAACCUGGGGAAACCCAGGCUAAUACCGCAUACGUCCUACGGGAGAAAGCAGGGGAUCUUCGGACCUUGCGCUAUCGGAUGAGCCUAUGUCGGAUUAGCUUGUUGGUGAGGUAAUGGCUCACCAAGGCGACGAUCCGUAGCUGGUCUGAGAGGAUGAUCAGCCACAUCGGGACUGAGACACGGCCCGAACUCCUACGGGAGGCAGCAGUGGGGAAUAUUGGACAAUGGGCGAAAGCCUGAUCCAGCCAUGCCGCGUGUGUGAAGAAGGCUUUCGGGUUGUAAAGCACUUUCAGUGAGGAAGAAAGCCUUGGGGCUAAUACCCCCAAGGGACGACAUCACUCACAGAAGAAGCACCGGCUAACUCCGUGCCAGCAGCCGCGGUAAUACGGAGGGUGCGAGCGUUAAUCGGAAUUACUGGGCGUAAAGCGCGCGUAGGCGGCGUGAUAAGCCGGUUGUGAAAGCCCCGGGCUCAACCUGGGAACGGCAUCCGGAACUGUCAGGCUAGAGUGCAGGAGAGGAAGGUAGAAUUCCCGGUGUAGCGGUGAAAUGCGUAGAGAUCGGGAGGAAUACCAGUGGCGAAGGCGGCCUUCUGGACUGACACUGACGCUGAGGUGCGAAAGCGUGGGGUAGCAAACAGGAUUAGAUAACCCUGGUAGUCCAACGCCGGUAAAACGAUGUCGACUAGCCGUUGGGGGUCCUUGAGACCUUUGUGGGCGCAGUUAAACGCGAAAAGUCGACUCGCCUGGGGAGUACGGGCCGGCAAGGGUUUAAAACUUCAAAAUGGAUUGACGGGGGCCCCGCACAAGCGGGUGGAGCAUGGGGUUUAAUUCGAUUGCAACGCGAAGAAACCUUACUCUACCUUUGACAAUCGUUGCGGAACUUGCUAGAAGUACCAUUGGUGUCUUUCGGAGCCGCAACAGAACAGGUGCUGC